This 253-nucleotide ribosomal RNA is filed under the name uncultured bacterium. RNAcentral's name for it is "partial 16S ribosomal RNA". It matches the Rfam family "Bacterial small subunit ribosomal RNA", at positions 524 to 776 of the family's 1533-position model. The record is from RNAcentral.
UACAGAGGGGGCAAGCGUUAUUCGGAAUUAUUGGGCGUAAAGGGCGCGUAGGCGGCCUGGCAAGUGGAAGGUGAAAUCCCUCGGCUUAACCGAGGAACUGCCCUCCAAACUGCUUGGCUUGAGUCCGGGAGAGGUGAGUGGAAUUCCCAGUGUAGCGGUGAAAUGCGUAGAUAUUGGGAGGAACACCAGUGGCGAAGGCGGCUCACUGGACCGGAACUGACGCUGAGGCGCGAAAGCGCGGGGAGCAAACGGG